UCCAUGGGAACCCCGACCCACCGGUAAACCGGACAGUUCUGUGAGGGGUUAGAAUGUUUCUCGCUUAGAAGCUAGGAGCUAGACUACCGGAUGUGCAGACCAUUGCGGGAGAAAGUGAUGAACUUGCCUUGUCUCUCGGGAACAUCGCAGUCAAAUUCCCCUGGGUAUCCUGGCGUCCGCGCUCUCCCGGGGCCUCCGCGUCUCCAGGAGCCUGGCAAGAACAGUGUUUUGCUCUGGCCUAUAACGUGCGGCUCCUCUGAGUCAGUUUCUAAAUCUUGUCGUCCUCAGCCGAGCGCCUGCGCGCCGCACACAGAUAUGGAAUGGCUCAGGACUCCAGGGGACUACAAGUGCUCUCCUUCCUCAAGAAAUAAGCCAAGGAGAGCUCUUAUCCUCCUGAUGGCCCUGCUGGUGCUCUAUGUUUGCUCCUACUCCCCUGGCUGAAGGAUGAACUAGAGUGGAGAAGUUCAAAGCCAAACAGACCUUGGGAGCCAGUAAAGCAAUCCAGAGGCAAGAAAGACUGGCAAAUGUAACAGCUUCAAGGAGGACCAAGGUUCUUCCUGCCCCUGGGCUCUGGAGAAGAGAGAUUGCGGGUCUCCCAGAGGGAAGCCUCCUGCAACCCAGUGUAAUAAGGUAGGUGAGAACAUGGGUGUGGGGACUUUGGAGAAGCUGCGCGGAC
Non-coding RNA from Cricetulus griseus (Chinese hamster), 676 nucleotides. The record is from RefSeq and is a predicted model, not a curated record. Lineage: Eukaryota; Metazoa; Chordata; Mammalia; Rodentia; Cricetidae.